UCNGUGCCAUAUUGACUUUGUAGCGUUGA
This 29-nucleotide non-coding RNA is filed under the name Mus musculus (house mouse). Lineage: Eukaryota; Metazoa; Chordata; Mammalia; Rodentia; Muridae. The record is from RNAcentral.